UGAAAUUCAAUAGCUGGUAAUUGACUGACAUAUCCAGAUAAAAUCGACCCUACGACCAAAUUAACUGUCAACAUCGACUAAACCUAAUUAAUCGAUUAAUUAACUCGGUUGUAAGUGACUUAUGCUAUCCCCUAGUGAAUGAUCAAUGUCGUUUGAUUUGAUUUAAAUAUAUACACAAAUCAUAUGCUAAACCAAUAUACUUUAUUGAAUAUAUAUAUAUAUAUAUAUAUAUAUAUAUAAGCUACAUCUGGAAAAUGAGAAAUUUGGCCAAAUAUAAUAUUAUAGAUCAAGAAACAAAAAGACAGACAACAUAAACAAGAAACAAAUAAUUAUUAAAAAGUAAUCCGAUGAUGGUUGGAUACCCAGGUAAACUGGUCACCUUAUCAAAUCAUCCAAUGUAGCAAGCAAGUCAAUCAAAACAUAUGAGAAAACAAUCCACCACCAUGCUCUGUAAUGUAUCACACAAUUGGAUCCCACCCUUAAACACGAUUAAGUUGGGAUUCCAUAACACACCAAUUUGAAAUCCCACCCAAAUCCGAACCCGAUUUCAAGCUAGAUCGGUUCCUAUGUAUCACCACAGAGCGGUUCCAAGACAUUCAUGACGAUGGCACAGCAACCUGUGGCAUCAGCACCAUCACCAUUCCCUGACAAAAAAGGAAGGCAGCGUGGGAGGCCGACUAAGCCAUCAGCACGGGUUAUGGCCCCUUGAGCCAGGGGUGCACCCACCACCAUGCACAACACCAACAGACAUGCAAGCUUAAGGGACAUUGAGCUAGCCAUAUGGAUUAAUCACAAGAAAAACAAACUUGUAAGGAAAAUGGUUGCUUGGAGUAUUGCUGAUUGUUGCGUGGUUAGGGGUUGAGGGUAGGAGGGUUUUUAUAGCCAAAAGUUAAGUUUUUAUUUUCUUUUUUUCAGCUUGGUGGUAGCAGGGAUUCUUUUGUUUUCCUCUGUACUUUUGGUUGUUGUUUUUGGGUGAUUCCUUUAGGCUUGUUUGCUGCUGUUUUUAGGCUGUGUCUCUGUCAAAACAGAUGUACUGAUUUUGUGUGUGCCAACUUUCUUUCAAUUGAAUCAUAAUGGCCCUUCCCAAAAUAGUUAACCUAAAAAUUUGCGUACCGAAGUAAACCCCUAUAGUUGCUUACUUAUAAAACAGAAAACCUUAUCUUUCAUAAAGAUGGCUAAACCUACAACACGUGACAUUGGGGUCGGCAAUCGGGCAACAGAAGCGUGCGUCGUUUCUAAUCCGGAUUCUGAUUUAGAGGCAUUCAAUCAUAAUCCACCGCAUGGUAGCUUUGCGCCACUAACUUUUUAACUAAGUCCGAUGACCAUCAGUAAGAUAAAACUAACCUGUCUCACGACGGUCUAAACCCUUGUGAAUAUUUAAUCCAACAAUAGGCAAAUAUAUAGAUUAACGAUUUUCAAUACAUUUUAAAAUAAAUAAAAUAUUGAACUCUUGUGAUUGAUUUGGUGGUCAAGGGUUAUUCACCCAUAAAACCUACCCGAAAUAAUAUUAAGAUAGGUGUAACUUAACAAACAAAUGCCUUUAAAAUAAUAACAAAAUUAACAAAAAAACAAGAGCUAUACAAUAUCUAAAAAUUAAUAAAACCCCUAACCCCUCUCCGCCAACGGAUUAGGGUCACGGGCAUUAUUAUCAAAUCAAUCAUAAUUAAAAUGCAAGCUAAUUCAUUCAAAUCACAGUAAAAAUUACCCAUUUAGUCCUAAAUACGAGUUUACAGGACCCUAAAAUGAUUUAAGAACAAAUGGGGGCUAAUUUGAAACAAUUCUAGAAGUUUAGGGUGAAAUCUCAAAAUGCCUAGAAACAGGGGACACACGAUUGUGUGGAAUGCCCCAGACCGUGUGACUUUCGAAGUUGGGACACAUGGCCGUAUCCCAGCCCGUGUCUCUAUCCGUGUAACUCAUUGACUUGAGAUACACGACCGUAUGUCAGCCCGUGUGGAAACUACACCUAUACUAUUUUUCAACACGCUCAGGGCACAUGCCUGUGUGUGACACACGGCCGUGUGAUAAUAACAACAAAACAAUAACAAUAUAAUAGUGAAAUGACAAUAAAACAGUAGAAAAACAACAACAACAAUUUUUUUUUGUAAAUCUGGGUUGUGCUCGGACCAAAAAAUUCUUACUCGAGGCCCAAUCCAUUUCCUAAACAGGCCAUAAAAACCUUAUUUUGUGUGUCUCAGCUUUCUUUCAAUUGAAUCAUAAUGCGCCCUCCCAAAAUAAUUAACCUAAAAAUUUGCAUAAGUAAACCCUAUAAUUGCUUACUUAUAAAAAGAAAACUUUUUAUUUCAUAAAGAUGGCUAAACCUACGACAUGUGUCAUUGGGGUCAGCAAUUGGGCGACGGACGCGUGCAUCGUUUCUAAUCCGAAUUCUGACUUAGAGGCGUUCAGUCAAAAUCCAGUGCAUGAUAGUUUUGCGCCACUGGCUUUUCAACUAAGCGUGAUAACCAAUUGUGCGAAUCAAUUGUUCCUCUCAUACUAGGUUGAAUUACUAUUGUGAUGCGACCAUCAAUAUGGUAAAAUUAACCUGCCUCACGACGAUCUAAACCCAACUCACAUUCCCUACUGGUGGGUGAACAAUCCUAACAUUUGGUGUAUGAAAGAAAAUAUUUUCUUUUUAUAAGUAAGCAUUUAUGGGCAUUGAUGUUGAAUGCUUUGCCGUUAUAGGUAAUAUGAUUAAUAUGAAAGAAAAGUUUUCUCUUUAUAAGUAAGAAAUUAUAGUGUUUAGUUUCUACGCAAAAUUUUAGGUUAACUAUUUAUAUAUAUUUGUGGGAGGGAGCAUUAUUAUUCAAUUGAAAGAAAGCACACACAAAAUCGAAAUUCCAUCACUUCAAGUAAGAUUGAUUCCUAAUAAUAUUCUAUCGGUACCCCUAAAAUAGAAAAUUAUCUAUUAAGGUCCUUUAGAAAUUUUAAAAAUUUAAAUUAAAAAAAAUAAAAUUAUACUUUAGCCCUCUUAAAAAUAAUAAAAGUUUGAUUUAAUCCUUUAAAAAUUUUAAAGAACUAAUCUAUUAAAAAUUAUAAUUUAAUUUCGAUACUCUAAACAAAUUUUCUAACUUCGCCCCGCACAAGAAACUACAAGCUUUUAAGUUGAAAUAUAACAUCUAUAGACAAGUUAGCCAUUACCAGGUUUCCAAGAAUUCAAGAAUUCUUCUGUAUAUUUACAAAAUAAAAAAAGGAUGUAAGUGCUUUGUAUAUUUUGGAAGUACAAUUAAUUGAUAAAAAUAUCGUGGAACUGGAAGCCCGUGUACUAGGAGUCAGAUUGCAUUUUGCCAUUUUUAUUCAAAAAUGGACAAAUUAGUCCCUGUACGUUAGAUAAAAAAGCAAUUUGAUAUUUACUGUUAAAAAUUUCAUCCAUUUCUACAGUUAAAAACCAACGUGGCUAAUAGAAUAAUCAGGCAGUUACACAUAAUGUGCCACGUGUAUCUCAUUCUGACAUACAUGGACUGAUUUUAACAGUAGAAGUGGAUGGGAUUUUUAACAAAAGCACCAAUUUGUUCUUUGAUCUAAUGUAUAAUGACUAAUUUGCCUAUUUUUUUAAUAAAAAUGGUAAAAUUCAAUCUAACUCCUAGUAUAUGGGGCUUCCACAAUCCUUUUACCCUAAUCAAUUAUUGUACAUAUUUUUAUUGAUAUAAUAACAAAUUUAAUCUGCAACAUUUACACAUUUUAUCAACAAUUAUAUAAAAUAUAUAAACAUCAAACGCUAAAUUUAUAAUGAGGCACCCCAAGAAAAUUGAUCGUCUGUUGGUGCAAUCUAGCAUCUUUAUGUUGUAAUAAGGCUUCUGUCCUUAUGGCAUCUGCAAAUUGGUUCUUUGAAACUGCAAGACUCCAUCUAUGGCCUGAAACACGCACCACAAGCUUGGCAUCUAGAGCUAAGUAGUUUUCCUCUGCAACAUGAUUAAGAACUCGGUUUCAUAUGUUUGUUUAUUCAUCUAUGUUAAGGAUUCCAUCCUAAUUUUAUUUCUUGGUUUAUGUGAAUUAUCUUGUAGUCCUUGGAAGUAAUAAUAAUAUGAUGUUCAGUCUUUUCUGGCAACAAUUGUCUCUUAUAUUAGUCUUAAAAUAUCAUGGUCUCUGAAUUAUUUGAUGUGUUGAGGUAAUCUAAAGUUUACAAGGAUUGUUUCUUUCCUAACUGUUACGUAUCAGUAUCGGAACAAAAAUGAUACAUCUGCUGAUACGGUACUGACUACAUUGCUUUAGAUGCACACUCCUUUAGUGGACCUGCUCACUGUUCUGAAUUGAGAACAAGGAUGACAUCAAAAUGAACUGCAAUAACUUAUCGAUGCUGGUCCGAUAUCAGAAUCAUGAUUAUCGAAUUCGUUUAUCGGAUCAUAAUGAGCAGUUUUCAUCUGCUCGUUCAUGGUGAAUAGGGUUCCAUGUAUUCUAUCAAACUGAGGGUGUGAUAUAUCCCCUGCAAUAAAUUCAUGAGUUCUAGUACUCACCUGAAUGAAACUCCAACCCGGCAUCUUUCGAACACCUUUGUCUCUCAUCAUCUUCCUUGCCAUUACAGAUUUAUCCCACCUUCCAGCUGAAGCAUAUAUAUUGGAUAAAAGUGCAUAGUUCCCACUAUUCCAAGGCUCCAAUUGUACCAAAUGGAGCAAAGCUAACUCUCCCAGCUCAGCAUCACCAUGAAUAUUAGAGGCAGCAAGAAGAGACCCCCAUAUAGCUGCAUUUGGCUGAAACGGCAUCUCACUAACUAGUUUGAGUGCUUCUGCUAGAUAACCGGCUCGACCAAGUAAAUCGAUCAUACAACCAUAGUGCUGAAUCUCGUGUUGAAUCCCGUACCUGUAUUUCAUAGCAUGGAAAUAAUAUCGACCCAAGUUCACCAAUCCUACAUGAGCACACGCAGAGAGGACUGCGAUGAAAGUGAUAUCAUUCGGUUUAACUUGAGCCAUUUCCAUCCGAGAGAACAUGUCGAGAGCUUGUGUGCCAAGUCCAUGGAAUGCAAGUGCUGAUAUGAUGGUAGUCCAAGAUAUAACAGUUCUACGGGUCAUAUUCACGAACACAUGCAAAGCAUUGCUUAUAUUGCCUGAAUUCGAAUACAUUUCAAUUAGUGCAUUUUUAAGGGUAACCAUUUGAUCAAACCCACGUUUUUUAACGUAGCCAUGAAUGCAUUCUCCCAAUCGAAUAUGAAAAGCACCCAACUGCGCACAAGCGGAAAGCACAGCCAACAUUGCUAUUUCAUCAGGCACUACAUUCUCCAACUGCAUUUUGCGAAACACAGCGAUGGCUUCGUCGGGACGAUCCAUUUGAGCAUACCCUGCAAUCACUGAUGUCCAAGUAAUAAGUACCGCACCAUCGGUUUGAGUUCGAGGCAUACGGCUCAACAAAUCCAUGGCAGUGUCUGGAUCCCCAACCUUGACAUACCCAGCAAUCAUUGCCAUCCAAACCACAACAUCAUCUGAACAAACAGAGGCGAGAGGCAUUUCAUCAAACACCUUGCGAGCAUCCGAAAUGCGCGCGCACGAGGAAUACAUUUGAAUGAGAGCCGAAACCACGUGAACAUUGGAUUCGAGCCCCGCACAUAUGGCUUGUGAGUGAAUCUGGGUACCCAAACUCAUUGCCCGAAGAUCAACAACCGCCUUCAACGCGAACGGGAAAGAGUAACAGUCGGGUCGCAACCCGACCCGCCCAAUGCUUUUAUAAACAAGGAGAGCCUCAAAGGCGGAGUUGCAGAGUGUCAUCCCCUUGAUCAUGGUGUUGAAAACAUAAAUGUGAGGGUGGCUUUGGGAAUUAACUGAGAAUACGGAGUGGGCAUAGGCGGAGAAGCCCAGAGAAGAACAUGUUUCGAUGAAUUGGCUGAGAAGAAGCUUGUCGUGAUGGAGGGCUGUUCGAACCAUGGAUCCAUGAGCCGUCUCAACAUCUUUAAGGUUAGAGCAAUGCUUUAGUAAGUAAAGCAAUCUCUCUCUCAUUCGCUAAUGCCACUAAGCUAAAAAGCAGCGCCAGUACUGUUCUUUCUUAUUCAUACUGCAAUGGCGGACCUGAGCCAGAUUAUUUGUGCAAGCUUUGGCUUGAGUUGGGAGUUUAUACUUCAGAGAUUUAACUUAAACAUUGGUAGCUAAAUAAUAUAUUUCAUCAUAUAAAAAUAUAUUUAAAUAAAAACUUUGAUCAGGGUACUUGAUUUCGAUUUGAAUGGAACUGCUCGACAUGAAUAUUAUUUACAAUUAAUAUCUAAAUUGAUUUGUUUAAGCUUUUUUCUGGGAUGGUAUAGUUCUUAACCAAAUCAUUAAUUAAUUUUUUAAAUUAAAGAAAUAUCUCUCUUCUUUCAACUUAUAAUUAAUAUUAAUAUAAUAGAAUUUUUCAUGUUUUUAGUCAUCUUUAAUUAAAAAAUAAAAAAUCGAACAUGUAUUCAAUAAUAUUAAAAUACAUACUUUUCAUGAUGUAAAAUUAUAUUAAAAUGAAAAGUUUGAUUAAGCUUAUAAAGUUUGAAUUGAUUAGGAUGCUUGAAUUUGAUUUGAAUGAAACUGCUAAAGUUGAAGGUUAACUUGAUAAUUAUCGGGUAAAAUAUCAAAAAAAACCCUUUUUUUUUAAAUUUACCGAAAUGGGCCCGGCAUUUUAUUAUUUAUCGGAAUGAGCUAUUUUCCCCGAAAUCGCGUCCACAUCAGCGCGAUGUCAGGGGACGUGUCAGCAAAUCGCGUCCACAUCAGCGCGCUUUGCUUACGUGAACACAAAUCGCUCCUACGAGGACGCGGUUUGCUGACACAUCAGCAAAGCGCGCUGACGUGGACGCGAUUUACUGACACAUCAACAAAGCGCGCUGACGUGGACGCGAUUUGCUGACACGUCCCCUGACAUCGCGCUGACGUGGACGCGAUUUCGGGGAAAAUGACCCAUUUCGGUAAAUGAUAAAAUACCGGGUCCAUCUCGAUAAAUUUUAAAAAAUAAGACUUUUUCGGUAUUUUGCCCAAUAUGUAUUACUGUAAUAUGUAGCUCAAAUUAUGUAUUGUAGUUAAUAUUCAUAAUAUUGUAGCUCAAAUUGUCAAUCCGUCUAAACUAUUGUACUAAUAACAUAUAUUAAUGUAAUAUUGAAGAGUUAAUUGAUAAAAAAAUAAAUGCAACCAGUACAAAAAAGAUUCAAAAUUAUUACCAACAAGAUUUGAACCAAGGUACUAAGGGAAAAAAAAACAAGCAUCUUAACCAACUAAGCUAAACUAAUUAAUUGACAUAUUAUAAAAAUAUUGUUAUUAUCUUAAUUAUAUUACUUACGUUCUAAUGAUUUAUCGGACCUAUUCCAUACACGUGCCAAAUCAGAAAAAAUAAUAUAACAAUUCUGUAAAAAAAAAAUCCGGUGUUUACUUCAAAUAAAUAAGAAAAAUAAUGAUUUGAAUAUUUCAAAAUUCAAUUUUAAACCGAAAAAUCAAAAUUUAGAGGUAAAAAAUCGGACAACCGAGCGAAAAGUUAUGGCAUUUCAAAGUUUUCCAAGCUAAAAAACAUAAACGGUCAAUUUUUUGACCAGUGGGUACUGUUCACGUGCGGCGCAAAUUGCGUCCACGUAAGCGCGAUUUGCUGACGUGCCACGUAAGUAAUCGCGCUGACGUGGACGCAAUUUGCUAACACGUCCUCUGACAUCGCGCUGACGUGGACGCGAUUUCGGAAAAAAUAGCCCAUUCCGGUAAAUAAUAAAAUACCGGGUCCAUUUCGAUAAAUUUUAAAAAAAUAAAGCUUUUAUGUGUAAUUUGCCCAUAAUUAUCAAGUAGACUUUAAAAACCUUUUUUCUUUGCUUAAUUCACCCAUCCAAAAACCCUAACAAUGGCUACCCUCUCGCAUGAUAUGAUCAUUGAAAUACUAGGUUGUUUAAGUGUAAAAGAUCUUCUACGCUUCAAGUGCGUUUCAAAGCUCUGGUGUUCUUGGAUCGAGGAUCCAUAUUUCAUCAAACUCCAUCUCUCGUAUUCCCUCAAAACCAAUACCAAUCACUCCCUUAUCCUCCAUCACAGGAAGUUCCAGUUCUUGUCCGUCAACUACGACUCACCCAAAACAACUCGAAGACUCGAGCAGCCAUUCGGUGAACAAAAAAACCCCAUUCAAAUAUUGGGUUCUUGCAAUGGUUUGCUGGCUGUAGAAUAUGACUACAAUAGAAUAUUUUUAUGGAACCUUUCAACGAGAAAAUACCAGGUAUUACCUUCCACUAAAAUAGACUUUUCAUCUUCAUCGAUUUGCUAUGGCCGUUCAAUAUAUUACGGAUUUGGGUACGAUCUCGUUUCUGAUGACUACAAAUUGGUUCGAAUGGUCCAAUUACUUGGAGAAAAUGAUGAAUAUUUUCAUUCUGAAGCUAAGGUUUACAGCUUGAGGAGCAACUGUUGGAGAAGGAUUAAGGAUUUCUGCUUUUAUCUUAUCUUCUAUCGAGAAUUAGGGUUUUUGGCUAACAAUGUUUUACAUUGGAUGGUUUCUAAAACUCCCGAAUCGAGUAAUAGAAACCUUGUAGGUUUUGAUCUUCGGAGCGAGGAAUUCCGUGUAGUUGAAUUGCCGGAUUUUUGUUUAGAUGAGAAUUUCUAUUUCGACGUAAAAGCCAUGGGUGGUUACCUUUGUUUGACUGCAACUCACAGGGAAUUGAAUGAUGUUGUGGUUGAUGUAUGGAUAAUGAAGGAAUAUGGGGUUAAAGAAUCUUGGGUUAAAUUGAUGUCGUCUACCCAACCUGACCUUCUUCCAGGUUCUCCAUUUGAAGUACCUUUGGCUUUUUCAAAGAAUGGUAACAAAGUAUUAUUCCACAAUAAAUACAGUCGGGGCAACAGGGACAGUCUUGUAUGGUAUGAUUUGGGAAGCAAAAGGGUUGAGAAGGUUGCGAUUGAAGGUGUUCCAGUUGUCUAUGAUGUGUACUUGUAUGUUGAGAGCCUUGUCCCUCUUAAUGACAGGCGCCCCAGAGGUAAUUUUUCUUUGUUUAAUUGCAUUUCUCUUUGUUAUGUUAUGACUUUUCAUUUAUAUUUUUCUUUCUAGAUGUGUUUAACCUCCAACUAUAGCAUUGAAUAACUUUUUUUUUUUUUGAUUGUUAGUAUGAAGAAAAUGUACUGCUACAUCAAAAAAAUAGAUUCAUCCAAAACAGUGAUAUUAUAAUUAGAGCCUUUUGUCCCUCUUAAUAGCCCUAUAGAGGUCAUUUUUCUUUAUUUAAUUGCUUUCUUUUAUGGAAAUAUGGGCUUUUUUUUAUUUAAAUAACCCAAAUAAUUUAAUUAAGUACUUAAAUGACCCACCUUUUUAAUUAAAUAUCAAAAUGACCUGAAAUUUAUAUUAAAAGUUAGUGGAGCCAAAUUAUAUGGCGCCACUAACUUACCAUGUCAGCAGGGAGCAUUAAAAAAUUAAUUUUUUUGUGAAGCCAUGUAAAAUAGCGCCACCUCUAUAAAUACUAUAGAAAUACUGCAAGUUUUGGAAAAAUGGGAGACUUAAAACAAUUUUCCAUUUUCUGGUGGAGCCAACUUAAAUGGCGCCACAAGACCAAACCUGACACCUUUUUUUUUUUUACUUUUUUUAUUAACUUUUGUCUUUUUUUUAAGUUUUAUAUUUUUCUUAUUUUAUUUUAUUUUAUUUUGUUUAUUUAUUUAUUUAUUGUUAUUAAUUUUAAAAAAAUUAUAAAUAUAUAUUUGAAAUGUUUUAUAAUAUAUAUUUUUAAAAAUUUUAAAAUUAUUUUUAAAUUAUUUUUUAAAUUUUGAAUAUUAUUUUUUAAAAUAUUAAAUAAAAAAACUAAUCUUAUAUAAGGGUGGUUUGGUCCCCCUUCAGAAGAAAGAAAAGAGAGAAAAAAAAGUUAGUUAAUUUUUUUUAUAUCUUAUAGUUAUUGUAAUAUAAUAAUUAUUUAUAUUGUAUUUAUGUGUUUUUUUUAUAUUAUGCAGAUAUCAAAAUAUCUUCUGGAGAUACAGAUCACACUUCAUCGAGGAUCGACGAAACAGUAAAAUUAAUUAUGAAUUAAAUAAAAAAUCGUUUUAGUUUCUCUUUUUUUCUUGCUAAGCACUACUUUGCUCAACGUGCUUUGAUUUAUGAUUGUGAUCUCUAUUUAGUUAUUAUUAUUCCCUUUUAACUAUUUUCUUACAUGAAAUUAAUCUGUAUGUGUUGGUUAUAAUUUUUUAAUUUUAGUACACAUUCAUAAAAUUAUGUACUUAAUAUAUACUUUUAAUAGAUAAAGGCAAAAAAGAUUUUCUUAAUAGAUUUAAAAUCUUUAAAAACUUAAAGAAAUUAAAUAUAUUAAAAAAUGUUAUGUAUAGUCAAUUUUAAAAUUUUAAUAUAUUUUUAAAAAAUUAAAUAUAUUAAAAAAUGUUAAGUAUAACCAAUAUUAAAAUUACAAUAUAUUAAAUAUAUUUUUUAAAAAUAUAUUUUAAAAUGUUAAUAUAUUUUUUAAUAGGAAAAGAGAAAAAUGAUUUUUUAAUAUAUUUAAAAUUUUAAAUAUGUUAAAAGAAAAUGUUGAGUAUAACCAAUUUUAAAUUUUUAAUAACUGAAUAUAUUUAAAUAUAUUAAAAUUUUGAAAAUAUUAAAAAAAAUUUAAGUCCAUAUAUUAUAUGUAAGAUAAAAGUUCUCGUAUAUAAGAUAAAUUUUCGAGUUAGAAUAUGCUUAGUUUAUAUUAUAUGUAAAACUCUAUAUAUUAUUAUAGAUAUAAAUUCAAUAAAAAUAUGUUUUUUUAUUUUUAUAUUUACCCAUACAACCUAUAGUUUUUUAGGAUAUUAUUAUUAUUUUUAUGUACUUUUUGUUGUUAUAUAGUUGCUGUAACACCCCCUAAUCUCAAACUGUCGCCGGAACAGGGUUAUAAGGCAUUACCGGACAUAUCAACAAUUUACACAUAAUGGUUAAAUAAUUAACCAACAUAUUAUAAUAAUUCAUAAAUUGUUAUAAAUGUUACUAAUUGAUUUCAUUCAUUUUUAUAAGAAUUUCGGCAACAUUUCUAGUUAUUUUUACAUACAACCCCUUGCAAAAUUUCAAACAUAACCAACCCAAUUCCAGUAUUUCAACCAAGGCAUUUAUAUACUUAAAUCUUACUUGACAUAUUGACAUAACAACUUAAUUAAUCAAAAUCCUAUUAUCAUUUCUAGUUAAUACAUAAAACUAAUCAAGCCAUUUCAAUUUGAUACCAGUGCCAUAAAGGAUUUCUACCAUUUUACUAAUAUAAUCAUCAAAACACAUAAUAUCUUACUUUACAACAAAACUAUAUAACAUACCAAAAUAACUAUUAUAAUUCUUAUGUACAUGCCACUUUCUCUUAAAGAAAGAAAACAUCACCAAAAUUUUAUGUUGGAGUCGGGAUUGUCCUGGAUGCUGAACCGAGACUCUGACCCUUUUUUUUUUUCUUUUCAACCUGCGCACGGAAACAACCGUACGCUCAGUAUUUUAUACUCAGCGGUAUUACCAUAAUUCAAAUUAUAAUAGCAAUAAAGAAUUAUAAUUACUAAGCAUGUAACUAUCCGAUUUCUUAAAUAUCAAUUAAUUUAUAAACUUUAUUAUUUAACAAUAACAAUACAAUUUUUCUUUAGCUAAUUUUCGAUCUCAAUCACAUAUCACAUGUAACAAUUUCAAUCACAACAUAAGCAUUAAUUUCAUGCCUUUCAUUUUCAAUAUCAAUUUCAAUCCGAAAUUUUAAAUUUUCUCAUAUUCAAUUGUUCACCCUAUUAACAAUCUGGACUUUAACAAAUACACGGAUUCCAACCCAAACAUACCAGUACGGCACAUUGUGCCUAAAACGGUACAUAGUACCUGAUCAGUAUACGACACAUAAGUGCUUGAAACGACACACGAGGUGCCUGAUACGACACAUAAAGUGCCUGAGAUACGACACAUAAAGUGCCUGAUCGGCAAAGCCGAUAAAUCCCGUACUCUUCUAAAUCCUAUGGCAUGCCAAUUAUAUCCGACUCAGCCCGACUAAUUAAUAGGGUAUAUAAAUUUCACAAUCUAAUUUUCACUUUUAUUUCAAAAAUUCAUUUUCAGUAUCACUUAUAUUUUUUUCCAUUCACUAAUUAAACACAGUUCAAUACCAACACAUACUUUUCUCAUUCAAUUUAUUUAUUUAUUUAUUUUUUUAAAUUCAAUUCAACAAAGUCACUUACCUUAUCGUAUGCUUACCAUACACAUAAUUUAAACUUCACAUCAAAUAAUAAAUUAUUUGAAUUAUAGUAAUACAAACCCGAUUUUUGCUCGAUUAUUCUUCAAUAACCUUCCCUUUCCUUUGUGUGCCGAUGCCUCGAGUUCCUUGUUAGCUAUGAGAAUAAUAAUGAUUUACACCAUCAAUUACAACAUUAAUUAAUAAUAGUAAUAGAAUUUCUAUCUAAUUUAUACUUUAAUUCCAAUUUAAUCCUAACUAAAUUUAUUUACUUUUCUAAUUUAAUUCACACUCUAUUUCUAUUCAAAUUUCUUCUAACUCAAAUUUAACUACCAAAUUUUCAGCAUAUUUCAUUAAUUUCGAAUUUUCCUCAAUUUAAUCCCUACAAACAUAAAAUUUAUAGCUUACUUCACAAUUUAAUCCUUUUAUCAACUCUAACUAGAAAUUCUAUCAAAUAAACCCUCAAUUUCAUCAUUUAUUCAACAUAAACCCUACUCAUAAAUCUAUUAACUUUCAAAUUUUCAACUUAAAUCCAUGAGUAUUUCACUCUAGGGUUCCAAAAACAUCGAAUUUAUGAGUAUUUCACUCUAGGGUUCCAAAAACAUCAAAUUUAAACUUCAAGCUUCAAAUCCCUAGUUUUCCCUUUUAUUUUUCUUUCCCCUUUCCUUCCUUUCUUUUUCGUCUGUUCUCUGUUUCUAUUCUGUUCUUCUUUUGUUUCUUUGUCUUUUUAUUUUACUUACUUUACUUUAUUUCUUUUAUUUUAACUAGUAAUAUUAAUAAUAUAUAUUAUAUAAAAAAAUCUUUUACUUAUUAUUUAAUUAUAUAUUUAUUUUUAUUACAAGUGUACCUAUGUAAUUAUUACUAUUACACUUAUCUUAAUCUUUACCAUACAUUUGUCAUCUAUUUAAUUUAUAUAAUAUAAUACAAUAUAAUAUAUAUAAAACAUAAAAAUAUAAGAUUUUUAUCACUUAUACCGUCCCAUUUCUUGUUAAUGGCUUAAUUUCCAUUUUAAUCCUUUUUAUUUUCUAUUAAUCUAUAAUUCAACUUUUACCCCUAGUUCAAUUUAGUCGUUUUUCCUAAUUUCUCUUAAUUAAACUAAAUUCACCUAAUUAAUACCUAAUUAAGCACUCAACUAAACUCUUAAUUACUUCUAAUAAUUAUUUUCGAACUCAAUUUACUAAGACGGAGGCCCGAUAUUAUACUUUUCCGAUGCCCGUAAAUUUUUGGGUCAUUAUAGUUGCCUUUAGUUUUAAUGCUUAACUAUGAUUAAUAUUUUAUGACAUAUCUUCAUUCUAUUAUUAAUGUAUUAUUACUUAUUUAAUUUAACUUAAAUAAAAAAAAUACUUAGAAUGGCUACAUUGAUAUAGUAUAAGUGUGAUAUUUUUGUUUUCUCAGCCUUUCAAUUUUAGUCUUCAAUAUAUAAUUUUAUGUUUAAAUUAUAUAGAUAAUUGAUUUAUCAUAAUUUUAUAAAAAAAUUACCAUACAUGAUGGUUAUCGGGUUUUGAGGUCACGGUUUUAUUUUCCCAAGUACGUUUGAAUAUCUUUAAAAUUAAUUUUAAAAUUAAUAAUUUAUGAAAAUUAUAUUUAAAAUUUUAAAAAAUAUAUUUAAAAUAUUAUAAAAAAAACAAUAAAUUUGAAAGGUCAUAUCUUUAAAAAUAAUAUAUUUUAAAUAAUUUAAAAUCAUAAUUUAAAAUAAUUUAAAAAUCAUAAUUAUAGAAAUUAUAAAAAAAAUUAAAAUAUACAUUUAAAAUAUUAUAAAACUAAUAAUAAAUUAAUACAUUUAAAAUCGUUCUUAUUUCUAUUAUAAUUUGUAAAUAAAAAAUAUUUAUGAUUAUGACAUAAUAUAUACCAUGGUAAAAUACAUUAAUAAUUGGUGAUUAAUAAUAUAGGUGUCAUUAGUUGUUGAUCUAUCUAUGGAUGCAAUAAUAUAUAUAUGUAAUGGUGAGUUGAAAGUGUAAUUGGACCAAUUUUAUAUAAUUUGUAAAUGUGGAGGGUUAAUUUUAUUAAAUUGUUAAGAAAUAGGGCCAAAAUGAUAAAAUGUGCAAGUGUUGAUGACUAAAUGUGUUAAUAUAUCAAUUAAAAAAAGGCUACAUCAUCAUCCUUCUUUAAUGGAAAGUGACCAAAACAGAACUAACUGAAAAUGUUAGUGAUGAAAUUGAAAGUUUUUGUAAUUUGAUAGCUAAAACAAAAACAGGCAAAUAAUUGAGACCCUUUUUAUUUUUACAAUAAAUAUAAUCAAUAAGAUAAGAUAUUGAAUCCAGUUAAUAAUUUUAUUUUUAUUUUGGUCACUGAAAAUGAAAUACUUGUAAUUUUGUCAGCCAAUUAAGCAUUAAAUCUCUAAUGACGAUUAAUUGUACACGCCACAUCAAGUUAACACUUUCAUUUUGGUUACCCAAAAAAUAUUCUUUUUCUAAAUAUUGGUCAAGGCAAAAAAAUUAAAGAUUAAAGUGAAAAAAAAAUUAGAAUAGUAAUAUUUAAGCGACGAUUCGAUGAUCAAUACAAUGAAUUAAUACUCAACGACGAAAAGAAGAAUAUACCUUACAUCCAAGUCGAUCUGACGAUCAAUGUCGAAUAUCAAAGAAGAAAGCUGUUUGAAUUUUAAUUUAUAGAUUCGUGAUGUUUAAAGCGGUUUCAUGAAAAAAAAUUGAAGAGUAGAAGAGAAAAUGAAUGAAAGCUUUCGAUUAGUGCAAAAAAUGUAAACAGAGAAGACCAUAUACAACAAUAAUUUUAACAGGUUAGUGACUUGAAUGAAAACUUUCAAAUAAUUUUAUAAUCAUUUUAUAAUUAUGUGAUUAAAAUGUAAAUAUAUUAGUAAUUUAGCGAACGUGAUUUACCCUAAAAAAACAAUGUUAAGUACCAAGAUUGGAGCAGGACAUGGGAUUGCAAAUUUUGCAAGAGAGGAGGAUAGAGAGGGUGGUAUAAGCAUGCAAUCGAUUAAGGCGGAGUUGCUGAGUGUCAUCGCCUUGAUCAUGGUGUUGAAAACAUAAAUGUGAGGGUGGCUUUGGGAAUGAACAGCGAAUACGGAGUGGGCAUAGGCGGAGAAGCCCAGAGAAGAACGUGUUUCGAUGAAUUGGCUGAGAAGAAGCUUGUCGUGAUGGAGGGCUGUUCGAGCCAUGGAUCCAUGAGGCGUCUCAACAUGGUUAAGGUUAGAGCAAUGCUUUAGUAAGUAAAGCAAUCUCUGUCUCAUUCGCUAAUGCCACUAAGCUAAAAAGCAGCGCCAGUACUGUUCUUUCUAAUUCAUGCUGCAAUGGAGGACCUGAGCCAGAUCAUUUGUGCAAAGCUCUGGCUUAACGGUGUAAUUGAGUGCUGGCUCGAUACCUGGCUUUAGCUAAAUGGAAUACCAAUUUCUAAACUUGAGAAAGGAGUUUAUACUUAAAAAGAUUUAACUUAAAUUCAAACAUGGGUAGCUUAAUAAUAAUUGAAAAUAUAAUUUGACGAUAUAAGAAUAGAUUUAAAUAAAAAGUUUGAUCGGGAUUCUGAGCUUUGAAAUUGAUUAGAAUGCUGGAAUUAGAUUUGAAUGGAAUUACUUAAGCUUAAGCUCGACAUGAAUAAUUGGAGUUAUAUAGCUUGUAAAUCUCUUACUCGAAUCACCAAUUCAGCUAUGAAAUUAAAUAAAUAUAUCUUUUUUUAUCUUAUAAUUAAUAAUACCAACACGGGGGGGGGGGAUACAAGGAUAUUAUGUUAUUUUAAUAUAUUAUUAAUAUUCAUUAUGAUACCAACACCGGGGGGGAUACAAGGGAUUUGAUAGUAUGAGUGGAAGGAAAUAUAGACUCUUUUACAAACACAAAAAGGUUACAAAAAAGAAAACUAAAAAGCAAAGUAUUUUGUAAUUUACAAGAUGCUAUACAAUUGAGCUUUCCUCCCUAUUUAUAGAGGAAUUCUAAAAAUUUUAUACAAUCGUCUUUUGAAUCCCGAAUAGUGCUUCUGAUAAGGACUCGGCUUAUUUACGAAUGUGGUUGCUUCCACGUCUCAAGUCUUUUUGCAUGGCUAUGGUUGAUUCCAUGUGUCAUGCCUCCAUUUAAUGACCGCUUUCCUCACUGGUUGUGUCACGGCCGCUCUUGUCACUGCUUACAUCAUCAUUGUUUUAAUGAUGAUUAAGACUUUUUGUCUUCUUCAUUAAUGGUUGCCUCCAUCAUAAUUCAUCCAUCAAGAUGAUGAAUGGUAGAUAUAUUUUGAUGACAAUUUUCUCAUGUAUUUCUGUUUUGUUGCAGAAUACUAGAUGGAAAAUCUUCAAUGUCCAUGUCUGCUAUAUUUUUUAGCAGAUUGAUGCCGUCAUCAUUUUCUUCAAUAAGAUAUGAAUGAUAUGCUAAUAUCCUUCUUCCAUCAGUUCUAAAUUGAUAAUUUCUUUCUUGAAGAAGAUAUUUAGUUUUAGCCAUUAAAUCAACACCGGCUUGGAUCUGAUAAUAGCUUGAAUUAUCUUGACACUUGUCAAUUGUUGUUGCCAAGUAUUCUUUAUCUUCAUUUAAAGCAGAUAGUCGGGGGCUUCCGAGCAUUCUGUGAAUUUCCCAUAUUUGAUAUGGCUGAAAAUUUUUUUCUUUUUCAGAAAUACCAAUAAGAGUACUUAUUUGAAUAUAAAAAUAAUAGAAAAAGUCAUCAUUUUUUAUGAUGGUUUGUAAUAAAGAUUUGAGUACUGCUGGAAAAUCUUUUAAAAGAUGAAAAGAAAAGUUUUGUACUACUAUUUCUCUAGCAAAACCCCGUUUGAUACUUGUUAUAUCAAAUGGUUCAUGAUCCAAUCUAAAUUUUAUAGCUGGAUAUUCAUUACUUAUAAAUUUUGUAAAAACAUAAGAUUAUAGAAAAUAUUCAGAAAAUGAUUUUUGAUAUUGAAUUAUCUGCUGAUUACAGAUAGUUCUAUUGAUUUUGUUGAAUAUUUCUACUGGUAAAAUCUGCCUAGAUUUGUUAUAUAAACAGAUUCUAAAUAUCUUAUUUAUAAUAGGAGUAUUUUUUCCUUUAUAAAUAAAAUAUUGGAAAAUAUCAAGAAGAUUAUUUAUCUCCUCUAUUUCCAUAAAUUCUAUUUGGAAUUCGUCCCAUUCCCUGAAUAAAAUAGAUUUUAAUAAUAAAUCCUCGGCUUCAUUUUCUUUAGUUGUUUUUUCAACUAAAAAUAAUGAAAAUUUGGUAAGAGCUCUUCGGAAAUUAGCUCUUUGAUUUGAAAUAUGGGUUUUCCAUAUCUCAUUUAUAAAAUCAUAAAAUUCUGGUGACAAACCAGGAUUAUAAAAAUCUUUUAUUUUUGAAAGAUCUUUUUCUUCUUCAAUUUGUUGUUGUUUCAACAAAUUUUCUGAACUUUUGAUGAUUUCAGCAUAACUGUUUUGUGAUGCUAAAUUCGUAUUUUGAGACAUCGGUGAUUGAUACACCAUGUUUGAAAAUUUGCUUCCAACUGGUUGAUUUACCAUUGGAUAUUUUAAAACAUUUGGUCCAAGUGGUUGGUUUACCAUUGGAUAAGACACAUAAUAUAUUUGGUUAGGAUAGAAUGGUAUUUGUGCAGGUACAAAUCCUUUUUUGAAAUUUGAUUCUGCUUUCCCUUUGUUGGGCUUUUUGUGAACGGUAGUCCAUUCACCUACUAUUUCUUGUAGAGGCUUUUUACCUCUAUCCAUUAUAAGGCUUGCUAAAAAAAAAUCAACAAAUAUUAGUAAUAAGUUACAAAUAUUUAUUAAUUUUUUAUUAGUGUAAAUUUUUUAUUACACACAACUUUAUUAUCUUUUUCAAGUGAAAUUUCCACAAAGUCUUCUUUUACUAUAACCAAAUAGAAUGUUUAUCAAUAAUAAAAGGUAAAUAUUUACAUAUAAAAUUAUUUCCUAAUACAAUGUCUCCUUGCAUAUUAGGAAAACAUAAUAUUUUAGGAAUUAAAAAUCUAACAUUGUUUACGUAGAUUGGUAUGUUUUUAGCUUUAUAUUCUAUAAUAGUUUUACUUCCAUCUAUGUCUAUUAUUUUUAUAGGUUUUUUAACUAAUUCCCAUUUUUCUACAGGAAUCGCGUUUUUUCUGUAACUACAGAUUGUAGCUCCAGUAUCUAUUAAGGCAUUUAGAGAAUAUUUUUUAUAUUUUCUAAAUUGAAAUGUUGUUUUAAUGUUUAUUCCAACUUUUGACUUUUUAUCAAUUGUUGAAGUUUGAAUUUCUUUCAUUUUAGUUUUUCUAGAAUUAUUACUAGGAUUAGUAGGAAAUAUAGGAAUUUGAACAGUUUUCAUUCCUAUUGGUGUACUGUUUGUACUAAUAUUAUCCUCUUCUUCUUCUGGUUGAGAACUAGAGGGUAAAACUAAAUUUUCAUUUGUAUUAGUUAUAGAAUUAUUUUUAAAAUACAAUUUAUUUCCUGAUGACAUAUAUUCUAUAGUACUAACUGGUUUAGAAGUACUAGAACUAUUAAUUUUUUCCAUCAUCCAAUCUUUUGGAAUUGACAGGUCUCUUAAAUCUAAUAAUUUUGGCUGAAUUUCAGUAGUGAACCUGUUUGGUUCAAAGAGUUCAAUAAUUUUGUUAUUAAUCUCUUUUAUUUCUACUUCGGCUGUAUUAGUAUAUUCAUUAAUAGCAGUCCAGCUGAUUGCUAGAUCUUCUGCUAAAUCAUUGAUAUCAGAAUUUUUUGUCUGAAUUCUGAGACAAAAACACUCUUCUAUUAGAGGAUCCGUGAUAGAAAUAAAGUAAUUUGGUUUAACUUUAAAUCGUAUUACUCCUGUAUGUAAAUUAGACUGAAUUCCUCCAAUAAAUGCUUUUAUUGGAUUUUCAAAUCUUUUAUCUAAAAGGACAGCAAUUAUAGGAAUAUCAUGACCUCUUCUAAAUAAAGCUCUAAUAGUAAUCAUGAUUAUACCUAAAUGUAUAUAUCUAACCAGAGGAUAUUUCUUUCUAAUCCUCUUAAUUUUUUCUUUAGUAAAGAGAGGGAUUUCUGUUAAUCCUCCUUUAGUAUCUUUAGCGACGGUAUUACCUCUAAGUUUUUCUAUAUGUCUCUGUGUCCAUAUUUUGAACCUAGAGAUUUUAUAUAUUUCUUCUUUAGAAAUAUGAUUUUUAUUAAUCUUUUCUAUUAUUUCAUCAGAAAAGUCUUUUUCUUCUCCGAUCAAAUUUCCUAACUUAAUAUCCUGUGUUUCAGAAUUUGGAAUUUCUUCUAAUUGUUUAUUAGAACUACUUCCUAUAUUAAACAUAAAAAUAUAUUCAUCGUUACUAUCAGAAUCUGUUUCUGAUAUUAACUCAUAUAAUAUUUCUUCAGGAUUUGUUUCCUUUUGAAAACAUAUUUCUAAGUCUUGUUCUUCAAGACUUUUAAUCAUUUUCCUAGCAUUUUUCCCUUUAUUAGGACAAUUGCUAGCUAUAUGGCCUUCUUCGACACAAAUAAAACAUUUACAAAUUUGUUUCUUUAGUUUAGAAGUCUUUUUUCUAACCAUUUUUUGACUUUUACUAGAGAAUUUUUUAUUGCCUGGUUUCCAUUUUCUUAAUUUAUAUUUUUUACGCUUUUUAAAUGUAUUAGGAUAUAUUGGUUUACAUCCAAAUUCCCAUUCAUUUUCUAAAAUUUUAUUACAAUACCUAUCACUUAAUUUAUGCUUGACUUGUUUAGCAGCUUUACUUUGCAGACAAUGUAAAGUUAUUCUUUCACGUGCAAAGUUUAUCCUAUUGCCUAUAGUAUCUAUGUUUUCUAUUGGAAGCCCAGAUGAUUUAUUGUGCUUAUCUAAAUAAGAUACAUAUUUGUUUAUACAUAUCUCAUCCCAGGGUGGGGGUAAUUUAUGAAAAUAUUGGUUUUUCCAAAAUUCUAUAUUUUCAUUUUUUAACUUUUGAUAUUCAUGAAGAAAUUUUUUAGAAAAUUCUUCUAAAUAUCUAAUAUCACAUAUUUUAAUCUUUGAAAGAAUAUAACUAGCGGUACCAUCUUGAUCUUUUUUAUCAAAAUAAUCACAAAAUUCUGUUUUUAGAAUUAAUGUUAAUCCUUUUAAUAAAUCUUUAGGGGUUCCUAUCUGGUUGAUUAAUUGCCCCUUUUGUUCUUUACCUUUCUCAGACUCUUCCCAUCGUCUAAGAAACUGUAGAACAUCUCCUUGAAAUGUUCCAACAAAAUAAUUUAAAAAUUUUUCUUUUGACCAUGUGUUGUUGUUUACAACAAUAGUCAUUGACUGUGCCCAAUCAUCUAUAGUUUUUUCAUAGUUUGAAAUAGGAGUAUUAGUCAAAUCUAAAUAAAUUCCUCCUUGGGCCACAUUUCUUUUAUUUAAAUCAUCUAUUCUUUGUUGAACAGGUUGAUUAGACGUUUCACCUGGGUAUUCAGGUUUUAUCUCAUUUGUUGCUAUAUUUUCGGUUUUAUUACCAAAAAUUCUAAUUUUAUCACUUAUUUCAAAAUCUUUAUUUAAAUGUCUGAGAUAAUCAUCUGUUUGGCUAUCUGAUUCUAUUUUUCUUUUUCUAUAUGGAUCUGUUGGUUCAGUAUCCAUAGGUUCUGGAAUAUCUAUAUUUUCAUCUUCAGAUGAAGUGGUUUCCUCAUCAGUAUUAUAAGUCGAGACUUUUAUGUCUUCAUCCUGAUCUGUUGAAGUUUUUUCUUCAUCAGAUUGUUUCUUUAAUAAUUCUGUGUUUUCAGAAUUACUUGAGCUACUACUAUCAUCAUAUUUUAACAUAUAAUGAUAAUUAAACAUACUAAAUAGAUCUUUAUGUUUUUCAUAAAGUUCUUCUUCUAUUAGUUUUAAAUAUUCAACUCUUUCUAGUUGAUCAUUACUAUUAGUAAAUUUCUCUUUCCAAUGUUCUAUAAGGGUUUUAUAGGAUUGGAAAUCGUAUUCUUUUUGUUUUUUUAUUAUCUUUUUUACGUUUUUUAUGCUUUUUAUAAUUUUUUAACAUGGAUGUUGACUCAUCAAAAGAAGUGUUUUCUUCUUCAGAUAAAACUAAAGUAUGAUCUUUACCAUUACCGUAGUAUAAAGAACCUAAAUCUACAUCGGACUCAAUAUUAUUAUUAAAAACUUGAUCUAAUUUAUUAUUAACACUAGUUAAUAUUUCUUUAGACUCAUGGUUUAAGUCUAAAUCUUUUAUAUUACCUAAAUUAUUUACUUUUUCUUCUACAGAACUGACCUUACUAAAUAACCUACGAAAAUAAAAAGAAGUCAUAUCAAUAAGACUAUUUAGACCCUUACUCAGAGAUGAAAUGUUGUUUUCGUUUCUAGAGUCUAUAUGCGUAAUAUGAUCGCAAGUUUUAUCUUUAAACUGACACUCGAUUUGCUCCAUAAUGUUUGUUUCUGGUACCUAAGACCGUCUAUUAUCUUUAUCAUUUUCACACAACGCCUAAACGUCCUCCCUGGACUCAACGGCAACAAGAAGACAGAAUAACAGAUAUAUGGGUUUUGAAACAAACAACUGUGAAACAAACAGAAAUGUAAAUCAAAGAGUAAAACUUACAAUGGAUAUUACGAUAUUAUUUCUCCAGAAAGUCGUUACACCGGAACCUCUGAUACCAACAUGGGGUGGAUACAAGGAUAUUAUGUUAUUUUAAUAUAAAGAUUUGACUACUGCUUGAAAAUCUUUUAAAAGAUGAAAAGAAAAGUUUUGUACUACUAUUUCUCUAACAAAACCCCAUUCGAUACUUGUUAUAUCAAAUGGUUCAUGAUCAAAUCUAAAUUUUAAAGUAGGAAAUUCAUUAUCUAAAUAAUCAGUAAAAACAUAUGCUUGUAGAAAAUAUUCUGAAAAGGCUUUUUGAAAUUAUUUUUGCUGUCUGCAAAUCAUAUCAUUUAUUUUUGUGAAUAUUUCUACCGGUAAUAAUUUCCUAGCUUUAUUAAACAUACAUAUUCUGAAUACUUUAUUCAUAAUAGAAUUGUUUUUUCCUUUAUGAAUAAAAUAUUGAAUAAUAUCAAGAAAAUUGUUUAUCUCCUUAAUAUCCAUAACAAAGAGUCGGAAAUCAUCCCAAUCUCUAUAUAAAAUAGAUUUUAAUAAUAAAUCUUCAGCUUCAUUUUCUUUAGUUGUUUUUUCAACUAAAAAUAAUGAAAAUUUGGUAAGAGCUCUUCGAAAAUUAGCUCUUUGAUUUGAAAUAUAGGUUUUCCAUAUCUCAUUUAUAAAAUCAUAAAAUUCUGGUGACAAACCAGGAUUAUAAAAAUCUUUUAUUUUUGAAAGAUCUUUUUCUUCUUCAAUUUGUUGUUGUUUCAACAAAUUUUCUGAACUUUUGAUGAUUUCAGCAUAACUGUUUUGUGAUGCUAAAUUGACAUCAACCUUCUUGUCUAUUGUCGAGAUUCAUUUCUUCAAUCUCGUCCAAAUGUAAAGAAUCUGAUGAAAGUCUUGGUGGUGAAUUCCAAGCCUCCAAUGUUAGCUAUCUUUUUUAAUAGCUUCACAGAUUCUUCGUUUUUUUCUUCCUAGAUAUUUCCAUUAGGAAAUGCCAAUAUUCUUCUCCCAUCCGUCCAAAGUUUGUAAACUUCAUCAUAGAGAAGAUAAUGGGCUUGUGAUAUCAAAUCUAGUCCUGUUUGGACUUGAUAAUUAUCAAAUUUAUUAUAACAUUCAUCAAUAGUUUUUGACAAAUGUUCUUUGUCUUCAUUUACUGCAGAUAAUUGGGGGGGUUCCAAUCAUCUUUUUAAUAAUCCAAAUUUGAUACGGCUGAUAAAAUUUUUCUUGUUCAGCUAUACCAAUUAGACUACUAAUUUCAAUAUGAAAAUAGUAAUAAAAAUCAUCAUUGUUUAUGAUGUUUUGUAAAACUGAUUUUACAAUAGCUGGAAAAUCUUUUAAAAGAUGAAAAGAAAGAUUUUGCACAACUAUUUCUUUGGUAAAACCCCCAUUCAAUAUUGGUUAUAUCAAAUGGUUCAUGAUCUAAUCUAUAUUUUAAAGUAGGAAAUUCAUUAUCUAAAUAAUCAGUAAAAACAUAUGCUUGUAGAAAAUAUUCUGAAAAGGCUUUUUGAAAUUGUUUUUGCUGUCUGCAAAUCAUAUCAUUUAUUUUUGUGAAUAUUUCUACCGGUAAUAAUUUCCUAGCUUUAUUAAACAUACAUAUUCUGAAUACUUUAUUCAUAAUAGAAUUGUUUUUUCCUUUAUGAAUAAAAUAUUGAAUAAUAUCAAGAAGAUUGUUUAUCUCCUUAAUAUCCAUAACAAAGAGUUGGAAAUCAUCCCAAUCUCUAUAUAAAAUAGAUUUUAAUAAUAAAUCUUCAGCUUCAUUUUCUUUAGUUGUUUUUUCAACUAAAAAUAAUGAAAAUUUGGUAAGAGCUCUUCGGGAAUUAGCUCUUUGAUUUGAAAUAUGGGUUUUCCAUAUCUCAUUUAUAAAAUCAUAAAAUUCUGGUGACAAACCAGGAUUAUAAAAAUCUUUUAUUUUUGAAAGAUCUUUUUCUUCUUCAAUUUGUUGUUGUUUCAACAAAUUUUCUGAACUUUUGAUGAUUUCAGCAUAAUUGUUUUGUGAUGCUAAAUUUAUAUUUUGAGACAUCGGUGAUUGAUACACCAUGUUUGAAAAAUUGCUUCCAACUGGUUGAUUUACCAUUGAAUAUUUUAAAACAUUUGGUCCAAGUGGUUGGUUUACCAUUGGAUAAGACACAUAAUAUCUUUGGUUAGGAUAGAAUGGUAUUUGUGCAGGUACAAAUCCUUUUUUGGAGUUUGAUUCUGCUUUCCCUUUGUUGGGCUUUUUGUGAACGGUAGUCCAAUCACCUGCUAUUUCUUGUAAAGGCUUUUUACCUCUAUCCAUUAUAAGGCCUGCUCAAAAAAUCAGCAAGCAAAUUGUCAUCACUUUUAAUAAAAAAACUUCAAAGUUAAAAGUACAUAAAUCAUUAUACCACUUAAUUCUUCUAGGUAUAGUUCCUAAACUGUUAUUAGUUAAAAACUGUUUAACUGCUUGAUUAUCAGUUCUUAUAAUAAACUUUUCGGGUGCUAAAUAAAUGAGGAAAGUUUUUAUUCCUUUUUUAAUAGCUAAUAGUUCUUUUUCAUAAAUAAUAUAAUUAACUUCAUUUGGUUUAAAUUUUCCUGAACUAUAUCCACAUAUAAGUUCUUCAUUAUUAGCUGUUUUAGCUUUUAAAAUACAUCCCCAAUAGUAUUGCGAUGCAUCUGUUUCUAAAAUUAGUUUAUCUCCUGUUUUAAGCAAAUAAACUUUUGGAUUGUAAGUAAUUUCUUCUUUUAUAUUUUUUAUAACUUCUUCAUCUUGUUUAGACCAACAAAAGCAAAUAUUCUUUUUUAAUUUAUCAUAUAAUAUACCUGUUUUUUCAGCUAAUUUUGGAAAAAAGUUUCUUCCAUAAUUAACUAUUCCUAAAAAUUGUGAAAGAUGUUUUUUAUCUUCAAUUUUUUCAGGAAAUUCUUUUAUUUUUACAAUAAUAUGAUCUUGAAGUUGAAGACCAUGUGCAGAUAGUUUUAAUCCUAAAAAUUCAAUUUCUGUUUUUUCUAGCUCUAUCUUUUUAGGGCUUAAUAUAAUUCCAUGUUUUAGGAAUUCUUGAGAAAUAAUAUUUAGUGCUUUCUAUGCUCUUCAAGUGUUUUUGAAAAGACUAAGAUAUCAUCUAUAUAUACCACGCAAAAUUUUUUAUACAAUUUACAAACACAAAAUUCAAAUAUCGAAUGUGUAUUGAGUUUUUUCAUGAUAUAUAAAUAUAUUAAAUUUAAUAUUUAAUUAGGAUAUUUGAAUUCGACUCGAACACAAAUACAAUAAUUAAAUAAAAACAAACUUACCUUUAAAAUCGUAGUUUUUCAUGCUAUGCUACGCUUUUCUCUACUGCUAUACCCUUAAAAAACUUUUCUUCUUUGAUUAACCUACACAUACAAAAUCUCUUGAAAAUGGCGCCGCUCUCCAAUGAUAUGAUUCUUGACAUCUUUCGGUGUUUAAGUGUAAAAGAUCUUUCACGCUUUAAAUGCGUUUCAAAGUUCUGGUGUUCUUGGAUCGAGGAUCAAAAUUUCAUCAAACUUCACCUCUCCUAUUCCCUCAAAACCAAUACCAAUCGCUCCCUUAUUCUCCGUCACCGUAGGUACGAGAUCUUCUCCGUCAACUACGACUCACCCAAAACAACUCGAAGACUCGAGCAGCUUGAACAAAACAAAAACAUUCAAAUAUUGGGUUCUUGCAAUGGUUUGCUGGCUGUAGAAGAACAGAACGGUAGAAUUUUACUAUGGAACCCUUCAACGAGAAAAUGCCAGGUAUUACCUUCGGCUAAAAUAGUGUUUUCACCUCCACCGGCAUUCUAUUCCUGUUCAACUUAUUCCGGAUUUGGGUACGAUCCCGUUUCUGAUGACUACAAAUUGGUUCUAAUUGUCCAAUUACUUGGAACAUAUGAAGAAUAUCUUCAUUCUGAAGCUAAGGUUUACAGCUUGAGGAGCAAUUCUUGGAGAACGAUUAAAGGUUUCUGCUUUUAUUUUAUUUCCGAACGACAAUUAGGGGUUGUGGCUAACAAUGUUUUACAUUUGUUGGCUUUUAAAAUUCCCGAAUCGAGUAAGAGAAGCUCUGUUGAUUUAGAUGUGUUCGCUUAUAAAAAUCCCGAAACGAGUUAUAAACACCUUGUUGGUUUUGAUCUUUGGAGCGAGGAACUCAGUUUAGUUGAAUUGCCGGAUUUUUGUUUAGAUGGGGAAGCCAAUGUCGACGUAAAAGCCCUGGGAGGUUACCUCUGUUUGACUGCAACUCAUAGGGACAUGUUUGUUUCGGGUGAUCUAUGGAUAAUGAAGGAAUAUGGGGUUAAAGAAUCUUGGGUUAAAUUGAUAUCGACUACCCAACUUGACUUUCUUCCAGGUUCUCCAUUUGUAGUACCUUUGGCUUUUUCAAAGAAUGGUAACAAAGUAUUAUUCCACAAGAAAAGCUGUAAGGGCGACAUGGACAGGGACAGUCUUGUGUGGUAUGAUCUGGGAAGCGAAAGGGUUGAGAAGGUUGGGAUUGAAGGUCUUCCACUUGCCUAUGAUGUGUACUUGUAUGUUGAGAGCCUUGUCCCUCUUAAUGACAAUGUCCCUCGUAAAUACAGUCGCCCCAUAGGUAAAUUUUCUGUAUUUAAUUGCAUUUCUCUUUGUUAUGUUAUGAUUUUCCAUUUAUAUUUUUCUUUCUAGAAAUUAAAAUAGAUGUGUUUAACAUAGCAUUGAAUAACCUUUUUUAAAAUGUUAGUUAAUAAAAAAUAUACUUGUAAAUCAAAAAAAGUAGAUUCACCCAAAACAGUGAUGUUAUAAUUAGAGCCUUUUAUGUUGAGAGCCUUGUCCCUCUUAAUGAGAAGCCCCAUUGAGGUAAUUUUUCUUUACUUAAUUGCUUUCUUUUAUGGAAAUAUGUGUUGCAAUAUGAAUUUCCAUUCAUGUUUCUCUUUGUAGAAAUUAAAAUAAAUGUCUUUAACAUCCAAUUAUAGUACCGAUUAACUUUUUUUUUUUGAAUGACAGCUCUAGAACCUCGAGAAAAACGUAUGGCAGAUCUAGAAGCUCGUAAAAAACGUAUUUCUACAUCAAAAAGUAGAUUUGUGAAUAACAGCUGGAGAAAAGCGUACUUCUACGGCAAAAGAUAAAUUUGUCUAAAAAACUUUACUCUUUACUUGAUGUUAUAAUAAGAGAAAAGAUAUGAAGGUUUCUCGAUUACUUUAUGAGUAUGGUAUUAUUAUUUUUAUGUAUUGGAGGAUGAUAUUAUUAUAUUUUUAUUUGGUAUCACUUUUAUAUUUAUUAUUAAAUAAAUUAACAUUGAAUAGAAAAUAUUUUCUUUCUUGUACCUAUUUCUUAUAUUACUCAAUUGAUCAAGUGUUUGAAAUCGUUCUUAUUUCUAUUAUAAUUUGUAAAUAAAAAAUAUUUAUGAUUAUGACAUAAUACCAUGGUGAAAUACAUUAAUAAUUGGUGACUAAUAGUAUAGGUGUCAUUAUUUGUUCUUCUAUCUAUGGAUGCAAUAAUAUAUAUAUGUUAAUGGUGAGUUGAAUGUGUAUGUAGACCAUAUUUAUAUAAUUUGUAAAUGUGGAGGGUUAAUUUUAUUGAAUUGUUAAGAAAUAGGGCCAAAAUGAUAAAAUGUGCAAGUCUCGAUGACUAAAUGUGUUAAUAUAUCAAUUAGAAAAAGACUACAUCAUCAUCCUUCUUUAAUGGAAAGUGACCAAAACAGAACUAAUUGAAAAUGUUAGUGAUGAAAUUGAAAGUUUUUGUAAUUUGAUAGCUAAAACAAAAACACGCUAAUAAUUGAGAUCCUUUUUAUUUUUACAAUAAAUAUAAUGAAUAAGAUAAGAUAUUGAAUCUAGUUAAUAAUUUUAUUUUUAUUUUGGUCACUGAAAAUGAAAUACUUGUAAUUUUGUCAGCCAACUAAGCAUUAAUCUCUAAUGACGUGUAAUUGCACACGCCACAUCAAGUUAACGCUUUCAUUUUAGUCACCUCAAAAAUAUUCUUUUUCUAAAUAUUGGUCAAGGCAAAAAAAAUUAAAGAUUAAAGUGAAAAAAAAAUCGAAUAGUAAUAUUUAAGCAACGAUUCGAUGAUCAAUAUAAUGAAUUAAUACCCAACGACGAAAAGAAGAAUAUACCUUAAAUUCUAGUCGAUCUGACGAUCAAUGUCGAAGAUCGAAGAAGAAAGCUGUUUGAUUUUUAAUUUAUAGAUUCGUGAUGCUUAAAGCGGUUUCAUGAAAAAAAAUUGAAGAGGAGAAGAGAAAAGGAGUGAAAACUUUCGAUUAGUGCAAACAAUGUAAACAGAGAAGACCAUAUACAACAAUGAUUUUAACAAGUUAGUGACUUGAAUGAAAAUUUUUAAAUAAUUUUAUAAUUAUUUUAUAAUUAUGUGAUUAAAACGUAAACUUAUUAGUAAUUUAGCGAACAUGAUUUACACUAAAAAAAACAAUGUUAAGUACCAAGAUUGGAGCAGGACAUGGGAUUACAAAUUUUGAAAGAUAGGAGGAUAGAGAGGGUGGUAUAAUCAUGCAAUAGAUUAAGGCGGAGUUGCAGUGUGUCAUCGCCUUGAUCAUGGUGUUGAAAGCAUAAUGAACAGCGAAUACGGAGUGGGCAUAGGCGGAGAAGCCAAGAGAAGAACGUGUUUCGAUGAAUUGGCUGAGAAGAAGCUUGUCGUGAUGGAGGGCUGUUCGAACCAUGGAUCCAUGAGCCGUCUCAACAUGAUUAAGGUUAGAGCAAUGCUUUAGUAAGUAAAACAAUCUCUCUCUCAUUCGCUAAUGCCACUAAAGCUAAAAAGCAGCGCCAGUACUGUUCUUUCUUAUUCAUGCUGCAAUGGAGGACCUGAGCCAGAUCAUUUGUGCAAAGCUUUGGCUUAACGGUGUAAUUGAGUGUAGGCUCGAUACCUGGCUUUAGCUAAAUGGAAUACCAAUUUCUAAACUUGAGAAAGGAGUUUAUACUUAAACAUGGGUAGCUUAAUAAUAAUUGAAAAUAUAAUUUGAUGAUAUAAGACUAUAUUUAAAUAAAAAGUUUGAUCGGGAUUCUGAGCUUUGAAAUUGAUUAGAAUGCUUGAAUUAGAUUUGAAUGGAAUUACUUAAGCUUAAGCUCGACAUGAAUAAUUGGAGUUAUAUAGCUUGUAAAUCUCUUACUCCACCAAUUCAGCUAUGAAAUUAAAUAAAUAUAUCUUUUUUUUACUUAUAAUUAAUAUUAUUAUAAUAGGACUUUUUAUGUGUUUACAACAUCUUUAAUUAAAAAUUCAAAAAUCGAAUGUGUAUUCAGUUUUUUCAUAAUAUAAAAAUAUAUUAAAUAAAAAAAUUGAUUAGAUUCAAUAUUUGAUUAGGAUACUUGAAUUCGACUUCAACAGAAAUACAAUAAUUAAAUAAAAAUAAACUUACCUUUAAAAUCAUUGUUUUUCAUGCUAUGCUUUUCUCUACUGCUAGACCCUUGAAAAACUUUUCUUCUUUGAUUAACCUACACAUCCAAAAUCUCUUGAAAAUGGCGACCCUCUCCCAUGAUAUGACUCUUGACAUCUUACGCUGUUUAAGUGUAAAUGAUCUUUUACGCUUUAAAUGCGUUUCAAAGUUCUGGUGUUCUUGGAUCGAGGAUCCAUAUUUCAUCAAACUUCACCUCUCCUAUUCCCUCAAAACCAAUACCAAUCGCUCCCUUAUUGUCCGUUACUGUAAGUACCAGUUCUUGUCCGUCGAUUACGACUCACCCAAAACAACUCGAAGUCUCAAGCAGCCACUCAGUGAGCAAAAAAAAUACAUUCAAAUAUUGGGUUCUUGCAAUGGUUUGCUGGCUGUAGAAGACGACGACGGUAGAAUAUUACUAUGGAACCCCUCAACGAGAAAAUACCAGGUAUUACCUUCGACUGAAAUAGAGUUUCCAUCUCCUCCGAUACGCUGUUCCCGUUCAACUUAUUACGGAUUUGGGUACGAUCCCGUUUCUGAUGACUACAAAUUGGUUCGAAUUGUCCAAUUACUUGGAGCAAAGGAUGAAUAUUUUCAUUCUGAAGCUAAGGUUUACAGCUUGAGGAGCAAUUCUUGGAGAAGGAUUAAAGAUUUCUGCUUUUAUUUUAUUUCCUAUCGACAAUUAGGGUUUUUGGCUAACAAUGUUUUACAUUUGUUGGCUUUUAAAACUCCCGAAUCGAGUAAAAAAGACCUUGUUGGUUUUGAUCUUCGGAGCGAGGAAUUCAGUUUAGUUGAAUUGCCAGAUUUUUGUUUAGAUGAGAAUAUCUAUUUCGACGUAAAAGCCAUGGGUGGUUACCUUUGUUUGUCUGCAACUUAUUGGGAAUUAGGUGACAUUGUGGCUGAUGUAUGGAUAAUGAAGGAAUAUGGGGUUAAAGAAUCUUGGGUUAAAUUGAUGUCGUCUACCUAUCCUGACCUUCUUCUAUGUUCUCCAUCUGAAGUACCUUUGGCUUUUUCAAAGAAUGGUGACAAAGUAUUAUUCCACUUUAAACUCAAUCGGGACAGAAGGGACAGUCUUGUGUGGUAUGAUUUGGGAAGCAAAAGGAUUGAGGAGGUUGGGAUUGGAGGUGUUCCAAUUGUCUAUGAUGUGGACUUGUAUGUUGAGAGCCUUGUACCUCUUAAUCAGAAGCCCCCUAGAGGUAAUUUUUCUUCAUUUAACUGCAUUCUUUUAUGGAAAUAUGUGUUGUGUUUCUAUUAUUUGUAUUUGUAAGUUGCAAUAUGAAUUUCUCUUUCUUGAAAUUAAAAUAGAUGUCUUUUAACAUCCGAUUAUAGCACUGAAUAACCUUUUUUUUGAUGACAGUUCGAAAAAAACGUACUUCUACAUCAAAAAAGAAGUUUUGUCCAGAAAGAGGUAAAUGUUAAGCGAAAUUUGUUUCUCGAUUACUUUACGAGUAUGGUAUCAUUAUUUUUAUGUAUUGGAGGAUGGUAUUAUUAUAUUUAUAUUUGGUGUUAUAAUUAAAAAUCUAAAAAUUGAACAUGUGUUCAAUAAUAUUAAAUAUUAAAUAAAUUAACAUUGAACAGAUAAUAUUUUCUUUCACCCAUGUAAUGUAUGCGAUAAAAUCUAGUAUAUAUUAAACAACACAAAUACCAUGUAUUUCAUUUUAUUUAUUUAUUUUUAUUUAAUUCCUUUUUCUUUUAUGUAUAUGUGUUUCUCAUAUUACUAAUUGAUUUAAGAGUUUAAAAUCACUCUUAUUUCUAUUUAUAAUUUGUAAAGAAAAAAAAAGAUUUAUUCAAUUGAUUAAUAAUUUGUAUUAGUUGUUAUUUCUAUUAAAGUUUGUAAAUUUAUGAUUAUGACAUAAUACCAUGCUGAAAUACAUUAAUAAUUGGUGACUAAUAGUAUAGGUCUCAUUAUUUGUUGAUCUAUCUAUGGAUGCAAUGAUAUAUAUAUAUAUAUAUAUAUAUAUAUAUAUAUAUAUAUAUAUAUAUGUUAAUGGUGAGUUUAAUAUGUAUGUGGACCAAAUUUAUAUAAUUUGUAAAUGAGGAGGGUUAAUUUUAUUAGAUUGUUAAGAAUUUAGACUAAAAUGAUAAAAUGUGUAAGUGUUGAUGACUAAAUAUGUUAAUAUAUCAAUUAAAUAAAAGCUAUAUCGUCAUCAUACUUUAAUGGAAAGUGAUCAAAACAGAACUAACCGAAAAUGUUAGUGAUGAAAUUGAAAGUUUUUGUAAUUUGAUAGCUAAAACAAAAAACAUGCUAAUAUUUGAGACUCUUUUUGUUUAUACAGUAAAUAUAAUCAAUAAGUUAAGAUAUUAAAUCUAAUUAAUAAUUUUAUUUUUAUUUUGGUCGCUCAAAAUGAAAUACUUGCUAUUUUGUCACCCAACUUUUAAAACACUUUUAUUUUAGUCACCCAAACAUUAAAUCUCCAACGACGAUUAAUUGUACACGCCACAUGAAGUUAACGCUUUCAUUUUGGUCACUCAAAAAAAUAUUAUUUUUUAAAAUAUUGAUCGAGGCAAAAAAAAAGAUUAAAGUGAAAAAGUUCGAAUAGUAAUCUCUAAGCGACAAUUCGAUAUCGGUACAGUGGAUUAGCACCCAUUGACGAGUAGAAGAAUAUACCUUAAAUCCAAGUUAGUCGAACGAUCAAUAUCAAAGAUCAGAGUAGAAAGGUAUUUGAAUUUUAAUUUAUAAAUUCGUGAUGCUUAAAGCAGUUUCAUGAAAAAAAAUUGAACAGUAGAAGAAAAAUGUAAUGAAAGCUUUCGAUUGGUGCAAGCAAUGCAAACAGAGAAGGCUAUAUACAAUAAUGAUUUUAACAAGUUAGUGACUCGAAUGAAAACUUUCAAAUAAUUCUAUGAUCAUUUUAUAAUUCAGUGAUCAAAACGUAAACUUGUUAAUAAUUUAGUGAACUAAGUGUGGUUUACCCUAAAAAACAAGAUUAAGUACUAAGAUUGGAGCAGGACAUGGGAUUGCAAAUUUUGCAAGAGAGGAGGAUAGAGAGGGUGGUAUAAUCAUGCAAUAGAUUAAAUUGUAGUGUCUCUGUUUUGUUAUGGCUAUGGAUUUUUAACAUUCAUUUUUAUUAUGUAGACAACAGUAUUUCCCUUCCAUUAGCUGAUCCCAACUUCCAUGGCCACACUUCACUUAACGCAGCCACCCAAAACAAAACAUUCAUCAUCGAUACCCAUAAGCGAUCAACUUUGGGUCAUUUUCUUUUUCCCUAAUGAUGGAGGCUUUGAGCAGUACCUUCAAUGACUAUGAAUAGACAGAAACAAAAGAUAACAGAAAAAUAUGAAAAAUAGAAGAAGAGAAAAGUAUUUUAAUCUUUAUUUCAUAAAACUAAAAACCUACCUUUUACAUAGAAGACUUCACUAUUUAUAGGGAACUAAGAUAAAUAACUGAAGCAGCAACGAGUUAGCUAAAUUAGUCUUACUAACCACCUAAUCAUGACUUAUAAUCCUAUUAUCAUCAUUGUUCUCUCCUUCUACUAAAGUAGAUAGACAUGAAGAGAUUUCAUCAGUAGAAGCAACACAAAGCUGAUGCUGCAAGUGAGUAAAAAAACCAGCUGCCAGUGGCUUAGUCAGAAUAUCUGAAAUUUGAUGUAUAGCCGGAUCAUAAUGAACAUCAACUUCACCAGCAGCCACCUUUUUGCAGACAAAACACAAGUCUAACUCCGCAUGCUUCAUCCAAGUAUGUUGCACUGGAUUGCUAGAGUGUGCAACGGCACUAGUUUUAUCACACCAAAUGAUCGGAGGUUAAGCAACAAGUUGAAUUCCCAUCUCAGUCAACAAUGAUUUCAGCCAAGCUAUUUCACACACAAUAUUGGCAACACUUCGUAAUUCAGCUUCUGUAGACGAUCGUGCCAUAACACUUUGUUUCUUGGAACUCCAUGCAACUAUGUUGUUACCAAGAAACAUAGAAUACCCAGCUGUAAAACGACAAUCAUCAAUGUUGCUUCCCCAAUCUGGGUCAGAGUAAGCUGUAAUGUGUAAGGAGGGACAAGGUCAAAAGACAAGUCCAUGUUGUAGGGUGUAGGAUCGCCGGCACCCCUACGGCGCAGCGAAAAAUUUAAUAAUUAGCGACCCUAACCACGGAUCCAUGUGUGAGGAACGAAUCGGGGUCAAAAAGGUUACGAAAUUACCUAAUGUUUAAUCUGAGUAGACAACAACUUCUAAACCACGUGUAGUCUGAUCUACAGUCGAACCAAGCCGCAAUCUAUCGAGACUCCGACCUCUACGUAAUCCAUUCAGUUGACUACGAACGGAAGAAAUCCCAAAUCAAUUUUCAAAAGUGGUCUUUCUUUGACGGCUGCUAGACCCUUAAACAAAGAAAAACGGGAUUCUUAUAUAUCCUUUUAAUUUUUAGGGUUUUUAGGAAUUAAAUAAAUAUAACAAUAUUUUAAACCAAAAAUUAUAAUUACAUUAAUUAUAAUAUAAUUUCGGUAAACCAUAUAUUUAUUUUAAUUCAUAUGCUAACCAAAUUCAUGUCCUCAUUAUGCGUACAACAACCUUGUACAUAAUGUGUUGGAAAUUUGAUUACCGAAUUAAAUUAAUUCUAUAAUUAAUUUAAUUCAAGCGACACCCAAAAAAUAAUACCAACUAUGGUUUAUUCCAUUCAUUUCAACUAUAGGGUGUGACCCUGUAGGUUUCUGUAACGUUAGCAGUAAUACUAGAACGAUUCCAAUGUUACAAACAAUGAGUGGCAUCUAGCAAUGCAUCAUUGCUACCUAAGUCACAAGAGAUCAUGAUUCGACAUAACCUUUUAUGAUUAACCUUUUAUGCAAUAAUCCUUAAGUCUUUUAUCUCUGGAUUGGACACAAGUCAUGGAAUAGUCACACUUGUAUAGUCCAUUCCAUGUUCCUUGAUAUCUUAAGUAGACUACGAUAUACAAAUAAGUAUGACAUCUCAUAUCAACUUAUUUGAGCAUGGCUAUGCAUUUCUAGUCUCACUUAAUCAAGUGGCCUAAGAUAUUACUCCCAUUAUGUAGGAGAGACUUAUUCUAUAUCGACCAACCAUAUCCCUCUACAUUGAUUGUGGUAUAUCCAACAUCAGCCUUUAUAGAACUUGUUACGGUGUACGUUUGACUGUAUCAAAUUGUACUACUCACGAUGUUGAGAUUAUGAUGAUCUCAAGUCUGAGGAUCAUAUACAUAUUAAUCAUUAUGAGUAAUGUCGUGACAAUUACAUAAUAAUCCAAGAAACAUACUCAUAAUGGGUCAGUCCAAUAUGUUGUUCUCUAACACACAUAUUCAUGCAUCGAUUCUGACAUUCCAUAUCAAUGAUAACACUUUAUCAUCAAUCAACUACAGGUUAGUCUUAAUGCAUUAUCGUUGUCCUAUCCAAUAAUACUUGACUAAGGAUCUUUUAAGAAUAAUCACAUUAUUCUUAGGACAUUAAUAUAAAACAGUUUAUUUAUACACACAGAAAAGAAACUGAAAUAAUAAUGGUAAUGCCUUAUAUUAAUAAAUAUGAUAAAUCAAGUAUGUUAUUACAACCAUCUCAUGAUUGAUCUUUGGGCAUACUCUAACAUAAGGUACCUUUGAGAUAACAAACAAUCCAUUUUACCGCCUUCCAAUGCUUGUCAAGUGACAUUGCAUGUAGUGACUAACCUUAUUAACAUUAUAGGCAAUAUUAGGGCGUGUAAAGCAAAUGUGUUGGAGAGUACCUGCUGUUUGUCGAUAAAGAGUAAUGUCAAGAAACGGAUCUCCAUCAUAAGCCGUUAAAAGUGAUGUAGUAACCAUCGAAGUUGGUAACAGUGUGGCAUAAUUCAAUUUGAGUUUAUGCAAAAAAUCUAGAACAUGUAUAUAUUUUUACUGAAAACUAGACUAUCAGAUGUGUGAUGAACCUCCAUGCCUAAAAAAUAAUUGAGUUUACCCAAAUCCUUUAGCGAGAAUCGCUCAUGUAGAGCUGAGAUGAUGGAAUCAACAUCAUGCAAGCUGCCACCUGUUACAAUGAUAUUGUCAACAUAAACUGCUAAAUAAAGUUGACCAGCCUACUCCAAAUCGUUAAUGAAUACUGAGGAAUCAGCCUUGGAAGCUCGAAACCUGAGAUACCCAACAAGAAAUGAAGUCAGCUUCUCAAACUAAGCUCGUGGAACUGGCUUGAGCCCAUAGAUUUACUUGUGUAGUCGACAGACCAGUGGAACACCACGCUCAUCACAUUGCUCAAAACCCGGAGGUUGAUCCAUAUAUACUUCUUCAGUAAGAUCUCCCUUCAAGAAGGCAUUAUUAAUAUCAAUUUGUCUGAGUUGCCAAUUGUUGGUCAAUGCCAAAGACACCAAGACACACAUUGUAGGUUGCUUGAUGACCGGACUAAAUGUUUCUUUAUAAUCAAAACCAUUUGCGACGGGCUACCGACCCAUUUGCAUUUUUCUUUGUCUUAAAAAUCCAUUUGCAACCAACAUUGGUUCUAUUAUUCGGAAGAGAAACCAAACUCCAAGUUCCAUUGAAGAUGAGUGCACAGGUUAUGGCCCCUUAAGCCAGGGGUGCACCUACCACCAUGCAC
This 35081-nucleotide long non-coding RNA is filed under the name Gossypium raimondii (Peruvian cotton). Its description in RNAcentral is "long non-coding RNA (GRAI_LNC002473)". The stretch from base 3349 to 3492 matches the Rfam family "MIR7502 microRNA precursor family". Lineage: Eukaryota; Viridiplantae; Streptophyta; Magnoliopsida; Malvales; Malvaceae. The record is from RNAcentral.